AUAUGCUGAUUGCUAUUAAUGAUGCCAGCACCUUGGCGAGACAUAAAUACAUGUGUUCACGUUAGUUUUAUUGAGCAUGUGUAACUGUCUGAAAUAGCACCACUCAAGGGCUGUUAACCUCUUUAAGAAUAUGGCCAGGGUGGUUCGGGAGUGGACAGCUUUCAGGCGGCACCUUGAGCAUGGGACUGCAAAACCUGCAAUGUGUAGCUACUUAAAACGACAGGAAUCUCAGCCUAGUCAUCCUGGAACAAUGCCGGCACCUUGCCACACACUUGCAGCUUUACUUGUCAAAGAAGGUCAAGAUAAGAGGCAUAAACAUGAUGAAAGGAAAAAACUAAAAGGAGCUUUUCUAUCUUGUCAGGGUGCAUAAAUACAAUUACUCUAGCAGUCACAAUGUUCCCUUACGCCCUUAUCCCUGGUAAUGGGAUCCACUGAACUGGAGCUUUGGAAAGGAGCUUUGGAAAGGAGCAGGAAAGCUGGCCAUCUCUGCCUUUUUUGAAGAAUAAAAAUCAGUGGACAAUUAAAAGGCAAGGAAAAAGGAGCAAAGGGAGCGGGGUAGGAGGAAGGCGUAUGCAAGUGCACUGGAGCAUUACCUGAAAUGGCAACAGAUUGUUACCAUUAUCGGUCCGGAAAGCGUUAUCCUCCAUCCAGGACUUGGAGGUUGAUUAUGUGACCGCUCUGGCAAAAGCACUUUGACAACUGUAAGAAGAGAGGGCAUGCGCACACAAGGAACUGUGGGGGCUGAAGUCCUUCACAAGUAAGCAGAAUUCUAAGGUGGCUCUCCAAGAUUCCAGGCUAGAAGGAAACAGGAACCAUACCUGCAAUCCUGCCAACCACAAGAACAAGCUUGAAAGCAGAUUUGACCCUAACCAGAGAAACCAGUCAUGUUGCAUCAGAUUUCUGACCUACAGAAUUGUUAAUAAAUGAGUGUUGUUUUAAGCCAUUCAACUUCUGGUAAAUUUGUUGCACAGGAGUAGAGAACUAAUACAACAUUAUUCCAUUUUCUUUCAAAACACUGCUUUCCUGGCUUUUCACUUCUAAAGUUUCUUCUCAGUCUCCUGACCAUUCCUCCUCAGUCAGCUUUCCCCAGGGUUCUCCUAAUAUUCCACUGUCCCUGGGCAAUGUUAUGUUCAUGAACAAGGAAACUGAGUUCACCACUAUCGAGAUUUUCAGAUAAAAAAUCUUGUUGCUAGGUUCCAAGCCACUAUUUAACUAACACUUCUCUGAGGAUCUUACAGCACCUCUUCUCCCACAAAAGUGCUUCUGUCUUUAUUCCUAGUUAACUUACCUUAUUCUACUUAAUAGCACCACCAUCCAUGUAGUCACUCAAUUUAGGAAUCUGAACAUGACUUCAUCCUUUCCCUUCUCCAUCACUAAAGGACAAAUCCAAUUGGUCACUAAAACUUGUAAUUCCACCUCCUAAAUUUCUGCUUGACAUCCCCUCUUCUUCAUUCAUAGCCACUACAGUAUUUCACUUGAACUAUGGCAGUAAUAUCCUAAUGGCUCUCCAUCAAGUACCUUUCCAAAUACGGCCUCCUCAGUUAUUCAGUUUUACUGUGUUAUGCCUCUCCCUAAAACUCUAUAAUUACUUUUCCCUUGUCGAGGAUAAAAUGCAAACUUAACUCAUCUACUCUUCUUUCUGGCCACACCAAACAAUGACAGGCCCUUGAAUGCACAUACUCUUCUACUGUAAUGCCUCUGCACCUACUCCUUUUGCCUAAGAUACCUGUCUACCUCUGCUCACCUGCUCCUACUCACCCAUUAGAGCCCAUUUCAAAUGUUACCUCUUUGAAACUUUCCCUGACCAUAUGAGCAGAAUUGCUAUUUCUUCCUUUAUAUAUGUCUAUAACACACACAUAUCUCUAUUACAAUAUUCUUCAUACUUCAGUGCAACUAUCUGUUUGCACAUCUCUUUCCUAGAAUAGCUCCAGGAUCAGGACUCUAUUCAUCUUUGUAACCCAGGCACUGUGCCUAAAACACAGAGAUAAAAGCUUGUUGGAUAAAAGUUUGUUUUUAUAAAAGAAACUGUUUACAAAUCAAAGAACAAGGUACAAGCUUUUGCCUCAAUUUAUAAAGGCUCAGAGCACGCCUUUAACAUUAGAUGAAGAGAAAUUCUCUUGUCAUUAAGGGUAUUUCAAAAACACUGUUUAAUAACACUACAUGUAAUGUUUAAUGAAGAUAUUCCUAUUAAAAUUUGGUAUAAUUAAUUCACCCUUUCUCCUGUUGCAGGACAUUUAAAUUGCAUCUAAGUUUUUACUGUUUUCCAAACUGACUGUUUCCUUAUGCCAUAUUUGUAAAGAAAAAAUUACUUGAUUGUAAGGCAUAACAUUAAGGCUUUUGAUACAUAUUAACAAAUUCUUUAAGAACUGUUGCAGCAAUUUAUACUUUGAGAAAUAAACUAAUAUGAAAAUAAUUAUGAAUAGCAUAUACAACAAAGAAUAAUACAGCUACUGUUCUGAUAAUAACUUAAUGUAGAAAAAGUCUUUCCUCUUUGAUAUAUCAAAAUUAAGUCCCUUUCAGCAUCCCAAUAUAUUUAAUACUUUGUCAUUCUUCAUCAUACCAUCAUAUGAUAAUAGUGAAGAUAAGAUUAUAUACUUAUAGCUUGUAUUUAUUAGCUGGAUAUUCCAUUUUAAAUUAUGGUAUAUAAAUGUGUUCAUGUGUGUAUUCUAUUAGAAAAAGAUGAACAGCCUUCAUCUAUGUUCCCUAUGUUUCUAGAACUUCAAUUGUAAUUAAUUUUAUUUUAAAACCUAAUAUCCAUGAAGAUGGGCAAUAGGUAACAAACUUCCAGUUAUAAAAUAAGUAAGUCAUAGAAUUAAUACAUGCAUAUAAUGCAUAGUGACUAUAGGUAACAAUACUGUAUUGUAUAUUUGAAUAUUGCUAAGAGAAGUUCAUAUAAGAAAAAAA
Manis javanica (Malayan pangolin) is the source of this 2904-nucleotide non-coding RNA. The record is from RefSeq and is a predicted model, not a curated record. NCBI's taxonomy places the organism in Eukaryota, Metazoa, Chordata, Mammalia, Pholidota, Manidae.